GUUGCUCUUCAGUGACAAGCUCGGCCUUCUACUAGUCCUUGGCCACCUCAUCCUCAUCCACAAAGGACAAGUCAAGGUGAGGGAGAUGACUAGUUAUCCUUUGUCGAAGCAAGUCAUCCCCUAGGAAAAAGGCUUUUUCGGAGAAAUCGAUCUUCUCCUAAGCAUACUCCGAAGAAGAUCAGAAUGCCUCGACCACCAGCCGACCAAUGUCAACAGUCUUCUCAUCGGCCACCUGGCAUUUCUUCCUCUUUUCUUAAAGCCCCGCCUCAGCCUUCUUCAGCAUCGCCUCAGUAUUUUUUUGUGCAGCCUCUGCACUCUUUUGCCCGACUUCGGUUGCCAACCGUGUUGUCUCGAUCGACACCUACAUAGUUUUAGCUCUCUCAUGCACUUCUUUGAAGUACUUCACCUCGACUUCUGCCUUGCUGACCUUUGAUCGGAGCAUCUUGGCCUCCUUGCAGGCUUUGGAGGUCUCCACCCUCACCGCCUUCGUC
Molecule: long non-coding RNA, 491 nt
Filed under: Elaeis guineensis (African oil palm)
Lineage: Eukaryota; Viridiplantae; Streptophyta; Magnoliopsida; Arecales; Arecaceae
Description: long non-coding RNA (EGUI_LNC013858)
Source: RNAcentral